RNAcentral lists this unclassified non-coding RNA (336 nucleotides) under Megachile rotundata (alfalfa leafcutting bee). RNAcentral's name for it is "uncharacterized LOC105662092, transcript variant X2". The record is from RNAcentral. Lineage: Eukaryota; Metazoa; Arthropoda; Insecta; Hymenoptera; Megachilidae.
CUGCACCAGACGCGCAUUUGUGAGUCCAUCGACCAUAAACCAUAAAUCUAUUACCAUAAACGUGUCUCCACAGUUCAUAGUUCCAGUUCGCGCCGCGAAACAUCCGCAGUAACAAAAUCAUCUCGACGAAGAUGUAACGCGUUAAAAUUCUCAUUUCGAGCGAUUAAUUUGUCGAGCGGUUGAAGGCAAAGAGCAACCGGGAGCUUUCCCCGGAAGAUACGUUCGCGAUAAGCCGUGGAAAGAAGGCAGACGGACAAAGAGCAAUCAAUACAUCUACAAAUCAUUCGAUCGCAAAGACAUUGGUCGUUUUCGAAGCAUGGUUGAGUAUGCAGUCCU